This 805-nucleotide unclassified non-coding RNA is filed under the name uncultured Bordetella sp. RNAcentral's name for it is "partial 16S-23S ribosomal RNA intergenic spacer". It matches the Rfam family "Bacterial small subunit ribosomal RNA", at positions 10 to 820 of the family's 1533-position model. The record is from RNAcentral. Lineage: Bacteria; Pseudomonadati; Pseudomonadota; Betaproteobacteria; Burkholderiales; Alcaligenaceae.
GGUUCGACCAUGGCUCAGGAUUGAACGCUGGCGGGAUGCUUUACACAUGCAAGUCGAACGGCAGCACGGACUUCGGUCUGGUGGCGAGUGGCGAACGGGUGAGUAAUGUAUCGGAACGUGCCUAGUAGUGGGGGGAUAACUACGCGAAAGCGUAGCUAAUACUGCAUACGCCCUUCGGGAAAGCGGGGACCUUCGGGCCCCGCACUAUUAGAGCGGCUGAUAUCGGAUUAGCUAGUUGGUGGGGUAACGGCUCACUCAAGGCGACGAUCCGUAGCUGGUUUGAGAGGACGACCAGCCACACUGGGACUGAGACACGGCCCAGACUUACGGGAGGCAGCAGUGGGGAAUUUUGGACAAUGGGGUAAACCCCGAUCCAGCCAUCCCGCGUGUGCGAUGAAGUACUUGGGCUGUGGUGCUACCCUUUGGCAGGAAAGAAACGGCACGGGAUAAUACCCCGUGCAACUGACGGUACCUGCAGAAUAAGCAACUGGCUAACUACGUGCCAGCAGCCGCGGUAAUACGUAGGGUGCAAGCGUGACCGGAAUUACUGGGCGUAGCGUGCGCAGGCGGUUCGGAAAGAAAGAUGUGAAAUCCCAGAGCUUAACUUUGGAACUGCAUUUUUAACUACCGAGCUAGAGGCCAGAGGGAGGAAUUCCGCGUGUAGCAGUGAAAUGCGUAGAUAUGCGGAGGAACACUGAUGGCGAAGGCAGCCUCCUGGGAUAACACUGACGCUCAUGCACGAAAGCGUGGGGAGCAACAGGAUUAGAUACUCCUUGUGGAAUCCCAGCAAUACGUGUCCGAACGG